RNAcentral lists this ribosomal RNA (537 nucleotides) under uncultured bacterium. Its description in RNAcentral is "bacterial SSU rRNA". It matches the Rfam family "Bacterial small subunit ribosomal RNA", at positions 359 to 917 of the family's 1533-position model. The record is from RNAcentral.
GGANUUGGAAAUGGAGGCACUCUGAUCCAGCCAUGCCGCGUGAGUGAUGAAGGCCUUCGGGUUGUAAAACUCUUUUGCCAGGGAAGAUAAUGACUGUACCUGGAGAAUAAGCCCCGGCUAACUUCGUGCCAGCAGCCGCGGUAAUACGAAGGGGGCUAGCGUUGUUCGGAAUUACUGGGCGUAAAGCGCGCGCAGGCGGCUCUUCAAGUCAGGGGUGAAAGCCCAGAGCUCAACUCUGGAACUGCCUUUGAAACUGUAGAGCUUGAGUACGGGAGAGGUGAGUGGAAUUCCCAGUGUAGAGGUGAAAUUCGUAGAUAUUGGGAAGAACACCGGUGGCGAAGGCGGCUCACUGGCCCGUUUCUGACGCUCAGGCGCGACAGCGUGGGGAUCAAACAGGAUUAGAUACCCUGGUAGUCCACGCCGUAAACUAUGAACGCUAGCCGUUGGAUAGCUUGCUAUUCAGUGGCGCAGCUAACGCAUUAAGCGUUCCGCCUGGGGAGUACGGCCGCAAGGUUGAAACUCAAAAAAAUUGACGGA